UAUAAGGCCAAAGGAGAGAUGUUCUCUGUCCUGGAAGCUGGUGGAAGAUCUCAGGUUCUGGGAGUUGGUAACAAAGGAAUAGAGUUUUCUAUUAUAUCAUGAGCCAGCAACAACACUGAAAAGACUAGAGUACACCUAGCUUAUUUUCCAAUCUUAUCUAACCCUACGCAGCCUGUUCUUAAAAGGGAAAGAGAGAAAACCUCUCCCAUCUUCCAGCCUGGGAUCUCCAGAUUUACCUGGUUCUUGAAACUCAACUGCUUGCUGGACAACGAGCUCUUGGAAGCAUAAUUCACUGGACACAUUCAACUGCUUUACAGGGCCCAGUUCCCUGGUAGAGAGAGAGAAGGAAGACCCCAAAAAGGAAGGAGGGGGAAGAAGGUAAAGGCAGAGAGAAAGA
Long non-coding RNA from Cebus imitator (Panamanian white-faced capuchin), 397 nucleotides. RefSeq lists it as uncharacterized. NCBI's taxonomy places the organism in Eukaryota, Metazoa, Chordata, Mammalia, Primates, Cebidae. The record is from RefSeq and is a predicted model, not a curated record. The transcript has 3 exons.